This 73-nucleotide transfer RNA is filed under the name Phalacrocorax pelagicus. Its description in RNAcentral is "tRNA-Asn". Lineage: Eukaryota; Metazoa; Chordata; Aves; Suliformes; Phalacrocoracidae. The record is from RNAcentral.
CUAGACAGGUGGGCCUCGAUCCCACAAACCCCUAAUUAACAGUUAGGUGCCCAAACCAGCGAGCCUCUGUCUA